GGGAUAACGCUUAGAAAUAGGUGCUAAUACCGCAUAAGCGCACAGAGCCGCAUGGCUUGGUGUGAAAAACUCCGGUGGUAUGCGAUGGGCCCGCGUCUGAUUAGCUUGUUGGCGGGGCAGCGGCCCACCAAGGCGACGAUCAGUAGCCGGCCUGAGAGGGUGGACGGCCACAUUGGGACUGAGACACGGCCCGGACCCCUACGGGAGGCAGCAGUGGGGAAUAUUGCACAAUGGGGGGAACCCUGAUGCAGCGACGCCGCGUGAGUGAAGAAGUAUUUCGGUAUGUAAAGCUCUAUCAGCAGGGAAGAAAAUGACGGUACCUGACUAAGAAGCCCCGGCUAACUACGUGCCAGCAGCCGCGGUAAUACGUAGGGGGCAAGCGUUAUCCGGAUUUACUGGGUGUAAAGGGAGCGCAGACGGCUGUGCAAGUCUGGAGUGAAAGGCGGGGGCCCAACCCCCGGACUGCUCUGGAAACUGUAAAGCUGGAGUGCAGGAGAGGUAAGCGGAAUUCCUAGUGUAGCGGUGAAAUGCGUAGAUAUUAGGAGGAACACCAGUGGCGAAGGCGGCUUACUGGACUGCAACUGACGUUGAGGCUCGAAAGCGUGGGGAGCAAACAGGAUUAGAUACCCUGGUAGUCCACGCCGUAAACGAUGAUUAAUAGGUGUCGGGGGGUAAGGACCCGCCGGUGCCGCAG
RNAcentral lists this ribosomal RNA (694 nucleotides) under uncultured bacterium. RNAcentral describes it as "bacterial SSU rRNA". It matches the Rfam family "Bacterial small subunit ribosomal RNA", at positions 140 to 851 of the family's 1533-position model. The record is from RNAcentral.